CCCAGACUUUAGCAUGUUCCCAUAUUCCCUGCAUCUUGUUGGAUGUUCUCCAUUUUACAGACCUAGAACACAAGACACAGAGACCAAGUGUCCUGCACUAGUAAUAGAAGGCAGGAGUCUUGACUCAGAAUCAAGUUUCUAACCACUGAGCAUUGCUUUUCACAGCUGCCAUCUUGGCGUAGCCUGGGGAAAGUAACAAUGUGAUAAAACUCCAGUGUGGACAUGUGCAAAUAUGUAUGUGCAUUCAUGCACCUUCAGAUCAAUGGCUAUUUUAAAGAAAAGGAAACACAAAGUUGUCAACUGUUCAAUAUAUGAUUAUAAGAAAGAAAACCAAAUCAAUCAGAAAGAGCAAAAGAUCACUGCAACAAAUAAGCACCCAACAGACUCUGAUAAAGGCAAAUCCACAAUCAUCACUGCUAUCCCACAUGAUAAAAGCCAAAUGCUUGUUGACAAUCAGAUUGACGAUGAUGUGAGCCCAUAAUGUUGCCACUGAUGGAUAAAAGGAUCCCUUAGAAAACAGAAGUGGUAAUAAAGUUGCUCGUACAACCUUCGUCUGGCAGUAAUUUUCAAUAUGAAAGCCUACUGCAGACUAGCAGAGAGGAAUGCUAUAAAAAGAACAUCAAAACACUCUUCAAUGUUGAAAGCAGAAUGGCUGGAAUCCUGCACAUAUACUGACAUGUGAGUUUCAAUGGCUCAAUCGGAUCCCAUUUUUAUUUAAAGAUGUCAGAUCCAACAGGGCCCAUAUUUCUCUAGAUAUGGAUUUAAAGUGGGCAGCAGGUUCCGUAUUGUUUACUCUGCUCUAUUUGUUUUCCUGUGGGAAGAGGCAUGUCCUGAAAAUGUGCUCGGUGGUAUUUUCAUUGGAUUUCCGGCGUUAUUCAGAUCUUCAAGAAGGGGAGACCCUCUGAACUCAGAAAACUAGUGUUCAGUCAACAAAAGGGAGGUUCUUAGCCAGAAGAGAAAAUAAAUAAGGUCAGUGUUAAAAACGCAGGUGACAUCUUCAGAUUUGGGUAUUCUCUUGGUCUAUUAGAUUCUUCCUGUAGUUUAGCACUAUUUAUAGAGAAGAACAAAGCUGGCAGAGUGGAGAUAUGGGAAUCUGAGCAAAUUAAGACAUCAACUCAAAGAUAGUAAGUCAUUUCUUUUUUUUUUUUCUGCUUUUUCUCCCCAAAUCCCCCCAGUACAUAGUUGCAUAUUUUAGUUCUGGGUCCUACUAGUUGUGGCAGUAAGUCAUUUCUGCUGCAAAGUUACCAGCCAUCAUGCCUCAGUUUCCCACCAGGAAAGACAGCAGUUCUGUGUAGUCCCUCAACCAAAGGAUGACUCAUCAGAAAGAUGAGAUACAAAACCAGUGUGAGCCCCCCUUUAGAGAAAUGAGUAAAGCAAUAUCAUCUAGGAGGUAUGUCAGAGUUCCUUGUCUGAUGAAGUUGCAAUGACUAUAAAGGCUGAUCCAGUGUGUUUUCUCCCAGGCUGUUCACAAUCAGCCCAGAAUUUAAGCUUCAGUCAUUCUCAAACUUUUCUGUCCAUUAGAAUCUUCAGAGAGCUUGUUUUAAAAUUCUGAUUUGGAGUCCCAGCUCCAGAGUUUAGAUAAAGUAGGUCUAGGGUGGGACUCAAGAACAUAAACUCUUAGCAAGCAUCCCAGGUGAUUCAAGUAGUGGUGAGCCAUGGACCACACUCGGAGAAAUUCCAAACCAAGCUACACAGUUCACCUGGCUGGUAAAUGUCUGUCCAUGGCCUGAUGAGCACCGUAUUCUAACCACCCGAGGAAACCCAACUACGGUCCUGCAACACGUGAGGAACUUGGGAGUGAAUUUUUAUCGUUUUUCUGCCCAACAUCCAUUCAUCUUGAAUUUCUUUUGGGGGAACAGCCCCUCCCCCUGCUCAGUUCAUGUGCUUCCAGUGGGUUUCAUCCUCCUGCCAGGGGGAACAUGAGUCCCAGACCUGGCCAAUCAGAGCACUGGAUCCUCUUAGCCACAGUGAUUGGUUUGUUGAUGAACAUGUGACUACUAUUUAGUCCAAGCAGACUAUGUCCCUAGGCUAACACAGAAACUGUCAGGAUUUGAAUCAAGGGUCUGGAGAUGCUGGAGCCGUGUUGCCACCAUGAGUGGAGUUUCUGUUUCAGAACAGAUCAGAAGAUGGAAAGAGAGAAAUCAAGUCCUGGCAUUAUUGUUUGAGUCAUAGAUGGGGCCAUAUUUAAGCCAGGCAGAUCCACCCCUGCAUUUUUCAGUUUAAAUGGAGAAAUAAAUUCCAUUUUUCUUCUUAAGCCAG
This 2259-nucleotide long non-coding RNA is filed under the name Equus caballus (horse). RNAcentral's name for it is "lncRNA (ENSECAG00000044349.1)". Lineage: Eukaryota; Metazoa; Chordata; Mammalia; Perissodactyla; Equidae. The record is from RNAcentral.